Molecule: ribosomal RNA, 564 nt
Filed under: uncultured bacterium
Lineage: Bacteria
Description: partial 16S ribosomal RNA
Rfam family: Bacterial small subunit ribosomal RNA
Source: RNAcentral
UGGGGAAUAUUGCACAAUGGGCGAAAGCCUGAUGCAGCAACGCCGCGUGAGGGACGACGGCCUUCGGGUUGUAAACCUCUUUUAGCAAGGAAGAAGCGAAAGUGACGGUACUUGCAGAAAAAGCGCCGGCUAACUACGUGCCAGCAGCCGCGGUAAUACGUAGGGCGCAAGCGUUAUCCGGAAUUAUUGGGCGUAAAGAGCUCGUAGGCGGUUUGUCGCGUCUGCUGUGAAAACCCGAGGCUCAACCUCGGGCCUGCAGUGGGUACGGGCAGACUAGAGUGCGGUAGGGAGAUUGGAACUCCUGGUGUAGCGGUGGAAUGCGCAGAUAUCAGGAAGAACACCGAUGGCGAAGGCAGAUCUCUGGGCCGUAACUGACGCUGAGGAGCGAAAGGGUGGGGAGCAAACAGGCUUAGAUACCCUGGUAGUCCACCCGUAAACGUUGGGAACUAGUUGUGGGUCCAUUCCACGGAUUCCGUGACGCAGCUAACGCAUUAAGUUCCCCGCCUGGGGAGUACGGCCGCAAGGCUAAACUCAAAUGAAUUGACGGGGUCAUAGCUGUUUCCU